Molecule: non-coding RNA, 28 nt
Filed under: Homo sapiens (human)
Lineage: Eukaryota; Metazoa; Chordata; Mammalia; Primates; Hominidae
Source: RNAcentral
UGCAUGGCAUGCCAAAGGCUGACAGAUG